UACGUAGGGUGCGAGCGUUAAUCGGAAUUACUGGGCGUAAAGCGUGCGCAGGCGGUUUGCUAAGACCGAUGUGAAAUCCCCGGGCUUAACCUGGGAACUGCAUUGGUGACUGGCAGGCUAGAGUAUGGCAGAGGGGGGGUAGAAUUCCACGUGUAGCAGUGAAAUGCGUAGAGAUGUGGAGGAAUACCGAUGGCGAAGGCAGCCCCCUGGGCCAAUACUGACGCUCAUGCACGAAAGCGUGGGGAGCAAACAGG
Molecule: ribosomal RNA, 254 nt
Filed under: uncultured bacterium
Lineage: Bacteria
Description: partial 16S ribosomal RNA
Rfam family: Bacterial small subunit ribosomal RNA
Source: RNAcentral